This 253-nucleotide ribosomal RNA is filed under the name uncultured bacterium. RNAcentral describes it as "partial 16S ribosomal RNA". It matches the Rfam family "Bacterial small subunit ribosomal RNA", at positions 524 to 776 of the family's 1533-position model. The record is from RNAcentral.
GACAGAGGAUGCAAGCGUUAUCCGGAAUGAUUGGGCGUAAAGCGUCUGUAGGUGGCUUUUCAAGUCCGCCGUCAAAUCCCAGGGCUCAACCCUGGACAGGCGGUGGAAACUACCAAGCUGGAGUACGGUAGGGGCAGAGGGAAUUUCCGGUGGAGCGGUGAAAUGCAUUGAGAUCGGGAAGAACACCCGUGGCGAAGGCGGCUCUCUGGGACGGUACUGACGCUGAGACGCGAAAGCGUGGGGAGCGAACAGG